GUUGUACUUCCUCCGUCUAACAAAGGAUGUCUCAAUUUUGACUAAAUUUGAAUGCAUCUAUACACAAAGUCAUGUCUAGAUACAUCAAAAUUGACAAACUUGAGACAUCUUUUGUUGGACGGAGGGAAUACGGU
Non-coding RNA from Brachypodium distachyon (stiff brome), 134 nucleotides. The record is from Rfam. Lineage: Eukaryota; Viridiplantae; Streptophyta; Magnoliopsida; Poales; Poaceae.